RNAcentral lists this ribosomal RNA (420 nucleotides) under uncultured ammonia-oxidizing beta proteobacterium. RNAcentral's name for it is "bacterial SSU rRNA". It matches the Rfam family "Bacterial small subunit ribosomal RNA", at positions 196 to 597 of the family's 1533-position model. The record is from RNAcentral. Lineage: Bacteria; Pseudomonadati; Pseudomonadota; Betaproteobacteria.
UGGGAGGAAAGCAGGGGAUCGUAAGACCUUGCGCUUUUGGAGCGGCCGAUGUCUGAUUAGCUAGUUGGUGGGGUAAUGGCCUACCAAAGCUUCGAUCAGUAGCUGGUCUGAGAGGACGGCCAGCCACACUGGGACUGAGACACGGCCCAGACUCCUACGGGAGGCAGCAGUGGGGAAUUUUGGACAAUGGGCGCAAGCCUGAUCCAGCCAUGCCGCGUGAGUGAAGAAGGCCUUCGGGUUGUAAAGCUCUUUCAGCCGGGAAGAAAAGGCUGCGAUUAAUAAUCGCAGUUCAUGACGGUACCGGAAGAAGAAGCACCGGCUAACUACGUGCCAGCAGCCGCGGUAAUACGUAGGGUGCGAGCGUUAAUCGGAAUUACUGGGCGUAAAGGGAGCGCAGGCGGUUUUGUAAGUCAGAUGUGA